GCUGAAGCCAGUCGAAGAUACCAGCUGGCUGCAACUGUUUAUUAAAAACACAGCACUGUGCAAACACGAAAGUGGACGUAUACGGUGUGACGCCUGCCCGGUGCUGGAAGGUUAAUUGAUGGGGUCAGCCGCAAGGCGAAGCUCCUGAUCGAAGCCCCAGUAAACGGCGGCCGUAACUAUAACGGUCCUAAGGUAGCGAAAUUCCUUGUCGGGUAAGUUCCGACCUGCACGAAUGGCGUAAUGAUGGCCAGGCUGUCUCCACCCGAGACUCAGUGAAAUUGAACUCGCUGUGAAGAUGCAGUGUACCCGCGGCAAGACGGAAAGACCCCGUGAACCUUUACUAUAGCUUGACACUGAACAUUGAGCCUUGAUGUGUAGGAUAGGUGGGAGGCUUUGAAGUGUGGACGCCAGUCUGCAUGGAGCCAACCUUGAAAUACCACCCUUUAACGUUUGAUGUUCUAACCUAGGCCCAUAAACUGGGUCGGGGACCGUGUCUGGUGGGUAGUUUGACUGGGGCGGUCUCCUCCUAAAGAGUAACGGAGGAGCACGAAGGUUGGCUAAGCAUGGUCGGACAUCAUGCGGUUAGUGCAAAGGCAUAAGCCAGCUUGACUGCGAGAGUGACGGCUCGAGCAGGUACGAAAGUAGGUCUUAGUGAUCCGGUGGUUCUGAAUGGAAGGGCCAUCGCUCAACGGAUAAAAGGUACUCCGGGGAUAACAGGCUGAUACCGCCCAAGAGUUCAUAUCGACGGCGGUGUUUGGCACCUCGAUGUCGGCUCAUCACAUCCUGGGGCUGAAGUAGGUCCCAAGGGUAUGGCUGUUCGCCAUUUAAAGUGGUACGCGAGCUGGGUUUAGAACGUCGUGAGACAGUUCGGUCCCUAUCUGCCGUGGGCGUUGGAAGAUUGAGAGGGGUUGCUCCUAGUACGAGAGGACCGGAGUGAACGCACCACUGGUGUUCGGGUUGUCAUGCCAAUGGCAUUGCCCGGUAGCUAAGUGCGGAAGAGAUAACCGCUGAAAGCAUCUAAGCGGGAAACUUGCCUCGAGAUGAGUCUUCCCUGUCGCUUUAAGCGACCUAAAGGAACGUUUAAGACUAAGACGUUGAUAGGCUGGGUGUGUAAGCGUAGCGAUACGUUGAGCUAACCAGUACUAAUGAACCGUGAGGCUUAACCUG
RNAcentral lists this ribosomal RNA (1167 nucleotides) under Proteus mirabilis. Its description in RNAcentral is "partial 23S ribosomal RNA". It matches the Rfam family "Bacterial large subunit ribosomal RNA", at positions 1766 to 2925 of the family's 2925-position model. The record is from RNAcentral. Lineage: Bacteria; Pseudomonadati; Pseudomonadota; Gammaproteobacteria; Enterobacterales; Morganellaceae.